CAGUAGGGAAUCUUCGGCAAUGGACGAAAGUCUGACCGAGCAACGCCGCGUGAGUGAAGAAGGUUUUCGGAUCGUAAAACUCUGUUGGUAGAGAAGAACGUUGGUGAGAGUGGAAAGCUCAUCAAGUGACGGUAACUACCCAGAAAGGGACGGCUAACUUCGUGCCAG
Molecule: ribosomal RNA, 168 nt
Filed under: uncultured bacterium
Lineage: Bacteria
Description: partial 16S ribosomal RNA
Rfam family: Bacterial small subunit ribosomal RNA
Source: RNAcentral